UACGGGGGGUGCGAGCGUUGUCCGGAAUCACUGGGCGUAAAGGGCGCGUAGGCGGCCUACUAAGUCGGACGUGAAAUCCCUCGGCUUAACCGGGGAACUGCGUCUGAUACUGGAUGGCUUGAGUUUGGGAGAGGGAUGCGGAAUUCCAGGUGUAGCGGUGAAAUGCGUAGAUAUCUGGAGGAACACCGGUGGCGAAGGCGGCAUCCUGGACCAAUACUGACACUGAUGAGCGAAAGCCAGGGGAGCAAACGGG
Molecule: ribosomal RNA, 253 nt
Filed under: uncultured bacterium
Lineage: Bacteria
Description: partial 16S ribosomal RNA
Rfam family: Bacterial small subunit ribosomal RNA
Source: RNAcentral